GGCGAACGCUGGCGGCGUGCUUAACACAUGCAAGUCGAACGGAAAGGCCCUGCUUUUGUGGGGUGCUCGAGUGGCGAACGGGUGAGUAACACGUGAGUAACCUGCCCUUGACUUUGGGAUAACUUCAGGAAACUGGGGCUAAUACCGGAUAGGAGCUCCUGCUGCAUGGUGGGGGUUGGAAAGUUUCGGCGGUUGGGGAUGGACUCGCGGCUUAUCAGCUUGUUGGUGGGGUAGUGGCUUACCAAGGCUUUGACGGGUAGCCGGCCUGAGAGGGUGACCGGCCACAUUGUGACUGAGAUACGGCCCAGACUCCUACGGGAGGCAGCAGUGGGGAAUAUUGCACAAUGGGCGGAAGCCUGAUGCAGCAACGCCGCGUGCGGGAUGACGGCCUUCGGGUUGUAAACCGCUUUCGCCUGUGACGAAGCGUGAGUGACGGUAAUGGGUAAAGAAGCACCGGCUAACUACGUG
This 468-nucleotide ribosomal RNA is filed under the name uncultured bacterium. RNAcentral's name for it is "partial 16S ribosomal RNA". It matches the Rfam family "Bacterial small subunit ribosomal RNA", at positions 28 to 507 of the family's 1533-position model. The record is from RNAcentral.